This 345-nucleotide unclassified non-coding RNA is filed under the name soil metagenome. Its description in RNAcentral is "partial contains 5.8S ribosomal RNA, internal transcribed spacer 2, and large subunit ribosomal RNA". The stretch from base 1 to 120 matches the Rfam family "5.8S ribosomal RNA", at positions 35 to 154 of the family's 154-position model. The record is from RNAcentral.
GAUGAAGAACGCAGCGAAAUGCGAUACGUAAUGUGAAUUGCAGAAUUCAGUGAAUCAUGGAGUCUUUGAACGCACAUUGCGCCCCCUGGUAUUCCGGGGGGCAUGCCUGUCCGAGCGUCAUUGCUGCCCUCAAGCACGGCUUGUGUGUUGGGCCUCCGUCCUCCUCCCGGGGGACGGGCCCGAAAGGCAGCGGCGGCACCGCGUCCGGUCCUCGAGCGUAUGGGGCUUCGUCACCCGCUCUUGUAGGCCCGGCCGGCGCUUGCCGACACAUCAAUCUUUUUUCCAGGUUGACCUCGGAUCAGGUAGGGAUACCCGCUGAACUUAAGCAUAUCAAUAAGCGGAGGA